Small nuclear RNA from Myotis lucifugus (little brown bat), 104 nucleotides. NCBI's taxonomy places the organism in Eukaryota, Metazoa, Chordata, Mammalia, Chiroptera, Vespertilionidae. The record is from Ensembl.
GUGCUCGCUUCAGUAGCACAUAUACUAAAAUUGGAACAAUAAAGAGAUUAGCAUGGCCCCUGCACAGGAAUGACACGUAAAUUUGUGAAGUGUUCCAUAUUAAA